AUGCGAUAAGUAAUGUGAAUUGCAGAAUUCAGUGAAUCAUCGAAUCUUUGAACGCACCUUGCGCCCUCUGGUAUUCCGGAGGGCAUGCCUGUUUGAGUGUCAUGAACACCUCACCCCCUCGGGUUUCCGAUCGGGUGGAUUUGGGUGCUGCCAGUUACAUGGCUCGCCUUAAACGCAUUAGCGGUUGUUGACGUAAUAAGUUUCGUCUUGUCGACCGCUUCUAAUCUCCUUCGGGAUGUCUUUCGGGACACUUCAUGAUCUGACCUCAAAUCAGGUAGGACUACCCGCUGAACUUAA
This 297-nucleotide unclassified non-coding RNA is filed under the name uncultured Vishniacozyma. RNAcentral's name for it is "partial contains 5.8S ribosomal RNA, internal transcribed spacer 2, and large subunit ribosomal RNA". The stretch from base 1 to 102 matches the Rfam family "5.8S ribosomal RNA", at positions 53 to 154 of the family's 154-position model. Lineage: Eukaryota; Fungi; Basidiomycota; Tremellomycetes; Tremellales; Bulleribasidiaceae. The record is from RNAcentral.